RNAcentral lists this long non-coding RNA (525 nucleotides) under Cricetulus griseus (Chinese hamster). RNAcentral's name for it is "lncRNA (ENSCGRG00015042546.1)". The record is from RNAcentral. Lineage: Eukaryota; Metazoa; Chordata; Mammalia; Rodentia; Cricetidae.
AUAGUCCUUAAAAAAUGCCUACCAUGCAGGAAGUGAAAUAAGGUUCUUGGACUCAGCAGAAAUGGGAAAUUCUGACCUUCAGAUAACAUUUUCAGGGGUUGGAGACAUGGCUCAGCAAUUAAGAGCACUGGCUGCUCUUCCAGAGGGCCUGGGUUCAAGAACCAGCACCCACAUGGCAGCUCCAGUUCCAGGAGUCCAGCUCAUGGGAUGCUGCUGCUUACAUUCAAGCUGAGUCUUCCCUCCUGAGUUAAAGUUUUCUAGAAACUUUGUGGAUAUACCUAGAGAGUCAACUGAAGUGUAAGGAUGUAAUUCGGCCAAGGUUCCACAGAUAGGGAGGAACAAGGAUGAGACUCAGACCUGAUCCUUUUCACAAGAAAGUCAAAGUCCUAGGGGCUGGAGAUCUGAGCCCUGACUGCUCUUCCAGAGGACCUGAGUUUAAUUUCCAGCCACCACAUCAUGGCUCACAACCAUCUAUAAUGAGAUCUGAUGCCCUCUUCUGGCUUGCAGUGCAGGCAUACAUGGAGG